Oryzias melastigma (Indian medaka) is the source of this 488-nucleotide long non-coding RNA. RefSeq lists it as uncharacterized. The transcript is spliced from 3 exons. Lineage: Eukaryota; Metazoa; Chordata; Actinopteri; Beloniformes; Adrianichthyidae. The record is from RefSeq and is a predicted model, not a curated record.
AACAUCCUGAACUCAGUCCGGCAGCAACAGGAGCGGGAUGAACUGGGCUUCAACGAGCAGCAACGGACGCAGGAUGCUGAGAGGCUGAUGCUGCUGGAGAGGGUUCGUCAAGCGGAGAACACCAUCACCGGUCGGAUCAGCACCCUGCUGAUGGACAACAACAGGCAGGAAACAAAUGCAAAGUUUCUUCAAGCCAUGGAGCAGGAACGGUAAGUGGACCAAUGAUAUUUUUAAGUUCUCUUGCAUUACAUUUACCAGACUGAGACAGAUUUCAACGGUGGCAGGCAAACGGAAGCAUGUAGUCAUUGUCAGUUCACCACGGAGAAGAAGUACAGUAAAUAUAAUUUGUAGAAAUUUAGUUUGUAAACAUAGUGUCAUUAUUUGUAAAGGGGCCUUACCAUGAAAAACACACUUUUUGAGGUUUUAAAUGCAUUUUACUGUUCAUUCCUCUCGAUGAAGAACCCCAGAGCGGUAUUUUGAUCCGUUCA